Molecule: ribosomal RNA, 441 nt
Filed under: uncultured bacterium
Lineage: Bacteria
Description: partial 16S ribosomal RNA
Rfam family: Bacterial small subunit ribosomal RNA
Source: RNAcentral
CCUACGGGGGGCAGCAGUGGGGGAUAUUGCACAAUGGGGGAAACCCUGAUGCAGCGACGCCGCGUGUGUGAAGACGUAUCUCUGUAUGUAAAGCUACUUCCGCCGGGGACAAGAAAGACGGUACCUGGGUAAGAAGCUCCGGCUAACUACGUGCCAGCAGCCGCGGUAAUACGUAGGGGGCGAGCGUUAUCCGGAGUUACUGGGUGUAAAGGGAGCGUAGACGGCUGUGCAAGGCUGAAGGUAAAGCCCAGGGCUCAACCCGGGGACUGCAUUGGAAACUGUGGAGCUAGAGUGAUGUAGAGGUAAGCGGAAUUCCUAGUGUAGCGGUGAAAUGCGUAGAUAUUAGGAGGAACACCAGUGGCGAAGGUGGCCUACUGGACAGUAACUGACGUUGAGGCUCGAAAGCGUGGGGAGCAAACAGGAUUAGAUACCCGUGUAGUC